This 1701-nucleotide long non-coding RNA is filed under the name Salmo salar (Atlantic salmon). RNAcentral's name for it is "lncRNA (ENSSSAG00000086941.1)". The record is from RNAcentral. Lineage: Eukaryota; Metazoa; Chordata; Actinopteri; Salmoniformes; Salmonidae.
GUCAUGUCAUCACUUCAUUUUUUUGCGCCUGCGCAUAAAUCUGAGAAACGUGAGUUUUGUCUUCAUUGUUUAUCUAGACAUAGGAUAGGUUGUGUGAAAAUAUUACUGAUGUUUAACGUUAAAAAUGGACCAAAAGAUUAAUGCUAAACAACAUUUGACAUGUUUGAACGAACAUAAAUAAAUUAUUUUCUAGUUUUUUUUAGCUUUUCGGCGUGAUUUUACAGUCCCCCCACCACGUUUUGUGGGAGCAUAAUGAACGCUAAGUACUUGGUGUUAUUUGGACAUAAAUUAUGAACUUUGUCAAAAGAAACCACAUUUGUUCCGGACCUGGGAUGCCUUCCGGACCUGGGAUGCCUGCCUUCUGAUGGAGAUAAUCAAAGGUGGAGAGAGUCUCCGCUAGGAAUUUACGACCUGAGAUAACAGAACCUGGGUGUAGGAGAGAGUGGGAAACCAUGAUCUAUACCCAGAAAGGGCCACAUCAUGACACAGGCCUCAUGCCAGUCAGAAUGGCCUCCAGUUUCUCCGUCUCCUCAUCAGUAAAGAGCCACUGCUUGUCAGAGCCAUGCUGCCUCUUCUGUGGAGGCUCCACAACCUCCUCCUCAUCAGUGUCCUCAAAGUCACACCAGGCCUUUGUCUUCUGUGUCACUGGAUGUAUGCCAGUCUCUCUUUCCAUGUCAGCCACAAUGAUGUAUAUAAACCCUGGAAUGCUGAUGCUAUGUAUUGGCCAAUGAGAGGCUUUGAAGCCUCUGGUUAUAUUUGUGCUCCACAGAAGAAGCAGUCCUCCAUAGGGAUGAAUGGAAUUCUACAGUAUUUUAUUUCAAUUCAAUGUUUCAAGGAAAAAAUUAUAUGUAUUUACGUAUUUUUUGUUGUAGUGGGGACAGUAACAUUAGAACUUUCAAAAAAUGAUAGUUCAAGGAAACGUUUAUAUAUUUUUCAUUUUUAUUCGUAUGUUUAUCUCAUAAUAUAAUUUAAAAGUAUGCAUUAAGUUGUCUGGAAAAUAAUGAACGUGGCAAAAACAAAUGUUGACAUGAAUGCAUUUCUAAAGCUAACAAAAUAUUUCUUACAAUGGAGGGGGAGUGCCGAGAUGGCGGCGCGAUCGCUUCAAAACAGCUCCCCCUGUCAGUCAUCUAGUGUAUAUAUAAAUCAUUGGUCAGGCCUCAACUCCCUUCACGGGCAGGCUAGAUGUUGCCACAUUUCCUGCUGGCAGUACUCGUAAAAGCACCAGAAAUUACUGUAUGAUGGACAUGUAUGUAUACCAGAAGUCCUGAUACUGCUCCAUGUACAACACUUGGAGACUGGGGGUGACCGCAUGCACUGAAGCAGAAUAGUGCAAGGGAAAGGUAAACAGAGGGGUUCUUACUGAGCUGGUGAAGUCAGGCUGAGGUGCACACCAGUCUACCUCUCCUGCAGCAGAGACAUCCUGAACUGGACUCGGUGGGGGGGCUGGGGCUUGGAGUGAGUGAAGGGCUGUAGGGCUGAGACCACCUCCUUAACAUCUUAAGGCAACAGGUGGGUUAAUCAUCCAGAUGGAAAUUACAUUGUCAUCAUCCACCUCCUCCUCUGUCCAGCUCCAAGGAUGGCCUACAAGGAAGAUUCUAAAUUUGGCACAUUGUAGAAAAAAGUAUGAUCUUAGAUAGCAGGGAAAAGUCUCAUGUCUAGUCUUGGGGUAGUUCCUGCCAAAACAACAACAUUAUCACCUAC